UUUGUGUACCCAAAUGACGUUCAGGAUAGCUCCUAUGUAGGUACAGUAGAUCAUGUUUUAGAAGAAUGGUACCUGAUACUUUCUCUGACGUACUAAGUGAAUUAAUUGAUGAAGAGAAGGCAUCAGGAUGUUCUGUGAAUAUAAAUCAAGCCAGCCAAAGCAGAGUGAUACUCAAUGUCCUGCUGGGAAAUAGCAGGCACUGGAGGGCAUGUGCCUAGGGCGCCAGUAACUUGAGGGGUGGCCUGAGGCUUAUGAGGCAGUAAAUCCCGAUGGAGGUGGAAGUGAUAACAUCACGCCCGCCUGCACAGGGAUGCAGAACAAUAAUGAAAGAGGCCUGCAGCCUAGAGGGGAACUUGGAGAAACAGCUGAACUGAAAAUGUACAGAAAAAGAAGCCCCUGAAAAUUCUCAUAUUUGAAAUACAUUUCACAAUGAAAGGGUGCAUCAUAUUUCUUUGGAAGACUGGCUUUGAAAAAUGGCAGUAUACUAGGAACGGUAAUAUUGUUUAUGACAAGGC
This is a long non-coding RNA of Bufo gargarizans (Asiatic toad), 515 nucleotides long. RefSeq lists it as uncharacterized. The transcript is spliced from 3 exons. NCBI's taxonomy places the organism in Eukaryota, Metazoa, Chordata, Amphibia, Anura, Bufonidae. The record is from RefSeq and is a predicted model, not a curated record.